RNAcentral lists this long non-coding RNA (431 nucleotides) under Equus caballus (horse). RNAcentral's name for it is "lncRNA (ENSECAG00000029536.3)". Lineage: Eukaryota; Metazoa; Chordata; Mammalia; Perissodactyla; Equidae. The record is from RNAcentral.
UGUAAAAAUCUAUACAUUCUAUGUAAACGGUACCUCUUACAGUUGUGCAAGGCACAACUUGUGAGGUUCAAUGAGACUGUUCCAGCUCCAGCCAUCAUAUCUGCAUCCCAGCCAGCAAGAAAGAGGAAUGAACAAAGAAGAGAGGCAAAGGGUACACCAACUACAUUUUCUUAUGUGUGAGGCACAUUGCAGAGCUGAGAGCCUGAAACCACUCAACUCCCAGAUGGAACCAAGAAAUCUUGUUGCUCCAUUGUUGCUGGUUGCCCUAGUGGAUGCCUGAGGACAAUGAGAACAUGCUAAUGAGGGCAGAGCUGAGUGAAUACCAGAGAAACAGAGCCAAAGCCCGUGCCUGGAGUGUGGACAUCCUGUUACAGGAAAUAAUAUUUUUCCUUAUUGUUUAAAACGUUUUGAGUCAAUUGUCUGUAUCUUUU